GUGGGUAUAGCUCAGUGGUAGAGCUCAUGCUCAGCAUGCAUGAGGUCCUGGGUUCAAUCCACAGUACCUCCA
This 72-nucleotide transfer RNA is filed under the name Camelus bactrianus (Bactrian camel). It matches the Rfam family "tRNA". Rfam says of the family: Transfer RNA (tRNA) molecules are approximately 80 nucleotides in length. RNAcentral also lists the same sequence under 2 other names. Lineage: Eukaryota; Metazoa; Chordata; Mammalia; Artiodactyla; Camelidae. The record is from Rfam by way of RNAcentral.